ACCCAGCUGGCUCAGUCGGUAGAGCACGUGACUCUUAAUCUCAGGAUUAUGAAUUCGAGCCCCGUGUUGGGUG
Molecule: transfer RNA, 73 nt
Filed under: Felis catus (domestic cat)
Lineage: Eukaryota; Metazoa; Chordata; Mammalia; Carnivora; Felidae
Rfam family: tRNA
About the family: Transfer RNA (tRNA) molecules are approximately 80 nucleotides in length. Their secondary structure includes four short double-helical elements and three loops (D, anti-codon, and T loops).
Source: Rfam by way of RNAcentral